Molecule: transfer RNA, 89 nt
Filed under: Candidatus Purcelliella pentastirinorum
Lineage: Bacteria; Pseudomonadati; Pseudomonadota; Gammaproteobacteria; Enterobacterales; Enterobacteriaceae
Rfam family: tRNA
About the family: Transfer RNA (tRNA) molecules are approximately 80 nucleotides in length.
Source: Rfam by way of RNAcentral
GGUGAGAUGGCCGAGGGGUUUAAGGCGCUCCUCUGCUAAGGGAGUAUGUAAUUUUAAAUGCAUCGAGGGUUCGAAUCCCUCUCUCACCG